GGGUUGCUCAAAGCACCAUCCAACCCAGUAUUUUCAAGAAUGGGGCAUCCAUAUCUUCUCUGGGCAAAAUCACGAGGUUCAUUUAACAAUUGUGGCACUGAAGUACUAGCAGUGGCACUUUGCAGCCUUAGUUUUACAUUUUCCAAAAUAUUCGCGUACGGAGGGUAGACUUGGUUUUGCGUUUCCUUUGUCUUUGCUUCCAGGAUCUCCUCACGUUUCUCCUGAGCCUUGAAGUGAUGUCAUGGAUAGUGGAAGAUGCUUAUCCUUGAACCGGACACCUCAGAUUCAGUCUGAAAUAUCUGUGUGGCUUGCCAGGGAAACUCAGGCUGUGCAGGAAGAGCAACCUAACCCAGGAAUCCUUCAUGUUGGGAGUUCCUAAGGAAGG
This is a non-coding RNA of Lonchura striata (white-rumped munia), 385 nucleotides long. The record is from RefSeq and is a predicted model, not a curated record. NCBI's taxonomy places the organism in Eukaryota, Metazoa, Chordata, Aves, Passeriformes, Estrildidae.